This 250-nucleotide ribosomal RNA is filed under the name uncultured bacterium. Its description in RNAcentral is "partial 16S ribosomal RNA". It matches the Rfam family "Bacterial small subunit ribosomal RNA", at positions 524 to 773 of the family's 1533-position model. The record is from RNAcentral.
UACGAAGGGGGCUAGCGUUGUUCGGAAUCACUGGGCGUAAAGCGCACGUAGGCGGACUUUCAAGUCAGGGGUGAAAUCCCGGGGCUCAACCUCGGAACUGCCUUUGAUACUGUUGGUCUCGAGCCCGGAAGAGGUGGGUGGAAUUCCUAGUGUAGAGGUGAAAUUCGUAGAUAUUAGGAAGAACACCAGUGGCGAAGGCGGCCCACUGGUCCGGUGCUGACGCUGAGGUGCGAAAGCGUGGGGAGCAAAC